This 495-nucleotide ribosomal RNA is filed under the name uncultured bacterium. Its description in RNAcentral is "partial 16S ribosomal RNA". It matches the Rfam family "Bacterial small subunit ribosomal RNA", at positions 28 to 507 of the family's 1533-position model. The record is from RNAcentral.
GACGAACGCUGGCGGCGUGCCUAAUACAUGCAAGUAGAACGCUGACGGAGGAGCUUGCUUCUCUGGAUGAGUUGCGAACGGGUGAGUAACGCGUAGGUAACCUGCCUGGUAGCGGGGGAUAACUAUUGGAAACGAUAGCUAAUACCGCAUAACAGUAGAUAUCGCAUGAUAUCCACUUGAAAGUUGCAAUUGCAUCACUACCAUAUGGACCUGCGUUGUAUUAGCUAGUUGGUGAGGUAACGGCUCACCAAGGCGACGAUACAUAGCCGACCUGAGAGGGGGAUCGGCCAAACUGGGAAUGGGACCCGGCCCAGACUCCUACGGGGGGCAGCAGUAGGGAAACUUCGGCAAUGGACGGAAGGCUGAACGCGCAACGACGCGUUAGUGAAGAAGGUUUUCGGGUCGUAAAGCUCUGUUGUAAGAGAAGAAAGAGUGUGAGAGUGGAAAGUUCACACUGUGACGGUAUCUUACCAGAAAGGGACGGCUAACUACGUG